Molecule: small RNA, 83 nt
Filed under: Marmota monax (woodchuck)
Lineage: Eukaryota; Metazoa; Chordata; Mammalia; Rodentia; Sciuridae
Source: RNAcentral
GCCAGGCACAGGGGUGUGUGCCUGUAAUCCCAGCAACCCGGGAGGCUGAGGCAGGAGGAAUACAAGUUUGAGACCAGCCUCAA